RNAcentral lists this ribosomal RNA (570 nucleotides) under Triticum aestivum (bread wheat). RNAcentral describes it as "partial small subunit ribosomal RNA". Lineage: Eukaryota; Viridiplantae; Streptophyta; Magnoliopsida; Poales; Poaceae. The record is from RNAcentral.
AUGAAGACGAAGACGAAGAAGGGAGGGACGGGGAGGAAUAAGAGGAACGAGACGAAGCUCAUCGAGGACCCGGCCAAGCGGCAGGUGGCCUUCUCCAAGCGCCGCCCCACGCUCUUCGGCAUGGCCGGCGACCUCUCCGCGCUCUGCGGCGUCCACGUCGCCGUCGUCGUCUUUUCACGCUCCGCGCGCGGCAACGCCUACGCCUUCGGCAGCCCCUCCGUCGACGCCGUCCUCCGACGCUACCACGGCAACGUCCAAGAUGAUGACGACCAUGGUGAUGACGAUGACGAUGCUGGCGCUCUGGCGGGGUUGCGGAGCGAGCUGGACGACACCAAGGCGCGUGUGGAGGCGGAGAAGAAGCGCAUGAAGAAAGUCGAGGCGAACGUGGAGCGGGCCAUGGCGGCAAGGUCAACUGCGCUGUGGUGGCAGGCCGACGUCGAGGCUCUCGGGGCAGCGGAGCUGCCAGAGUUCGAGACGGCGCUCCGGCGGCUCAGGGACACCCUCCUCCGCCGGGUCGACGCGCUGCAGCUACCUCUAGCCGCUGCACCGCCUGCCUACAUGAACAUGUAG